This 253-nucleotide ribosomal RNA is filed under the name uncultured bacterium. RNAcentral's name for it is "partial 16S ribosomal RNA". It matches the Rfam family "Bacterial small subunit ribosomal RNA", at positions 524 to 776 of the family's 1533-position model. The record is from RNAcentral.
GACAUAGGGUGCAAACGUUGUUCGGAAUUACUGGGCGUAAAGCGCGUGUAGGCGGCUCUGCAAGUCGGAUGUGAAAGCCCUGGGCUCAACCUAGGAAGUGCACUCGAAACUGCAGAGCUCGAGUCUCGGAGAGGAUCGCGGAAUUCUCGGUGUAGAGGUGAAAUUCGUAGAUAUCGAGAGGAACACCGGUGGCGAAGGCGGCGAUCUGGACGAUGACUGACGCUGAGACGCGAAAGCGUGGGGAGCAAACAGG